UUUACUUUUGGUGCAUAAUAAUGCCUAAACGUGGACAAACAUUGAAAAGUGGAGCCCGUGAGCUAAUCAUCAAGCUGCAAGAUUACUUUGAGCGGGAGCGGCAAAAUUGCGGACCCCUGGUACCAGUCGAACAAGUACAAGAACGCGUCUCUCAGGCGCUUGGAGUUAGCAAACGAACGAUAAUAAAUAUUAACAAAGAAAAUUUCGGCUCGACUGGCAUGGGAGAUAAUAUUUUAAGCAUAGUUUACACGGAGUCCAACACUGGCUGCCAAUAAGACUGGCAGCCAGUGCUGGCUUGGCAUGGCAUGGCAUUGGCCUUGUGUAAACAGUUUUUCAAGCCAAGCCAGCGCUGGCUGCCAACGCUGGCGAGAAUAGAGCGACCAUCUAUUUUUCUAGCCAGUGACUUCCGCCCGCAUACCCUUCGACCCCCGCGCCAGCGUUGUGGACACGUGUAGACGAGUCUCGCCAGUCACUGGCGAACGUCCGUAUGGUGUGUGUUAUUUGUUGUUUUGGAAUUUCUGCGACAAAAUGCCGAGAAAAUUCAACGAAGAAAAUACUUUGAAAUUCGUACAACUUUAUAGAGAGCACGAAUGCUUGUGGAAUAAGCGUUGCGAUGCAUACAAAAAUAAAGAAAUGCGCGCUUCGGCACUAGAACAACUUCGUGUAGGAAUGAAUAUAGAAGAACUGACUCUCGAUGAAGUUAAAUCAAAAAUCAAAAGUAUUCGAAAUACGUCCUACUUGGAACUCGACAAAAUAGAAAAAUCUAGAAGAUCUGGGGCUGGGCGGAGCGUUUAUAAGCAAAAGUCAAAAUGGUUUGAUGAAUAUUAUUCGUUUGUAAAGCCGGUUUCUAUGAGGAGAAAAACCAUAGAACCCAAAAAAAGAAAAAGGAAGGGGCCAAAAGAAGAUAUCCUUGAAACAAAAUGGAUAAAUUAUAUGAAACGGCUCAAGCUUUGAUGAAUCGCAAGGAUAGUGAAACCAACUCUUUCGGGACGUAUGUUGGGCAGAAGUUGGAGCAGAUUGAAUCUGUGAAUCAGCCCAUAAAUAGAACCUGCGCUGCCACUGGAAUAUCGAAAAGCACAUUGCUAAGAAUAAAAAAGCAGGUGAAAUCACAAUCUCCAGUGCCCUCAACGUCUAGUAAUAUAACGUCUGCCCCACCUCAACCUUCGACACCUGGCAAAAAGAGAAAACCAAGUUUAAAAAAAAAUAAAGCUCGACAGCUUUGACUUGGUCGCUCUAAGAAACAUUGUCAACAGUUUCUACACAGUCAAAAAAGAAAUACCUACGCUCAAAAAAUUAUUAGCAGCUGCCAAAAGGGAUUUGAAUUUUCCAGGUGGAAGAACUACAUUGCGACUCAUUUUAAAAAACGAAUUGGGGUACAAGUUCAAAAAAUGCAAAAAUGCCCGAUCGGUUUUAAUCCAAAAACCCGAUAUUGCAGCUUGGAGGGCUAGAUACUUGCGGCGUAUGAAGGAAAACAACGAACUUGGAGCAGACAAGAAACCAGUCACGUAUUUGGACGAGACAUGGAUUAAUUCCCACUACACUGUGAGAAAGUGCUGGCAGAACAGUUCUGAUGCCAGUGUAAUGAAAAAUACGAAUCCUGGUCAACGCCGGAUUCUCGUGCAUGCGGGUGGCGAAAAUGGCUUUGUCCCUGGCGCAGAGUUACUCUACAAAUUAAAAGUAAGACAGGUGAUUACCAUGAUGAAAUGGAUACGAACAAUUUUGUUAAGUGGCUUAAUGAAAAAUUAUUGCCCAACUUGCCUCCAAACGGCAUAGUUGUAAUAGACAACGCACCAUACCACUCGACACAGGCAGAAAAAGUCCCGUACCAAACUGCAUUGAAGAGCGAGAUGCAAAAUUGGCUUACCAGUCAGAACAUAACCUUUAAUCCAAAAAUGACGAAACCCGAGCUAUUUCAACUGAUCAAAGCAAACAAGCCAGAAAAAAAAUAUAUUGUGGACGAGUUGUUUAAAGAACAUGGGCACGAAGUCAUACGUCUGCCACCCUACCACUGCGAUUUAAAUCCAAUCGAAUAUAUUUGGAAUCUGGUCAAACAAAGGGUGGCAGACAAAAACAUUGACCAGUCUGAAAGACAAAUAGAGAAAUUAACAAAAGAAGCCAUACAAUCAAUAACAGUGGAAGACUGGAAGAAAGAGAUCAAUCAUGUGCAGAGAUUAGAAAACGAUUUCUAGGAGAAAGAUCGUCACCAAGAAGAUCAAGUGAGACAAUUCGUGAUAUCACUUGGAGGAGAAGACAGCUCAUCGGACAGCGAAAUAGACGAAGACGACACAGAUAACAGUGAGAUAUCGGGUAUAGAAGAAUUAGCCGAUGAUUAGUCAAUACAAUAUUAUUUAAAUUAUUAACAUUAUUUAUUAAAAUAUAUAUAUAUAUAUAUAUAUAUGUAUGGCUUUAUAUUGUAUGAAUUAUAUGUGGUUAUGUAUUAUAUGUAUAUUUAAGUAAAUAGUUGUAGGUAUAUCAUUUGUAUUAUUUUAUUUAUUUUACUUUCCUUUUUUAUUACACAUUCUUGUCUAUCUCAAAAGUAUCUAUUUUCCUACAAUGGUAUAGGUUGGCUGGAAGAGAUCUCUUUAUAGAGAUAAGCUCGCCUUUGUUACAAUUUUUCGGUUCUGUAAUUGUUACAAUGUUGUGUGCAAUAAAGUAUUUAAUAAUAAAUAUGUAACUAAAUAGUAUUUUAAUUAUUUUUCUACCAAGACUUGUUAUGUAAAGAAUUAAUGACUGUUUGUGACGAAAAUAUAAAUAAAUAAACAUAA
This 2765-nucleotide long non-coding RNA is filed under the name Helicoverpa zea (corn earworm). Its description in RNAcentral is "uncharacterized LOC124635915". Lineage: Eukaryota; Metazoa; Arthropoda; Insecta; Lepidoptera; Noctuidae. The record is from RNAcentral.